GAUGAACGCUGGCGGCGUGCUUAACACAUGCAAGUCGAACGGAAAGGCCCAAGCUUGCUUGGGUACUCGAGUGGCGAACGGGUGAGUAACACGUGGGUGAUCUGCCCUGCACUUCGGGAUAAGCCUGGGAAACUGGGGCUAAUACCGGAGAGGACGAUGGGUUGGAUGCGAUUGUGGAAAGAUUUUUCGGUGUGGGAUGAGCUCGCGGCCUAUCAGCUUGUUGGUGGGGUGAUGGCCUACCAAGGCGUCGACGGGUAGCCGGCCUGGGAGGGUGUACGGCCACCCUGGGACUGAGAUACGGCCCCGACUCCUACGGGAGGCAGCAGUGGGGAAUCUUGCCCAAUGGGCGCCAGCCUGAUGCAGCGACGCCGCGUGGGGGAUGACGGCCUUCGGGUUGUAAACUCCUUUCGCUAGGGACGAAGCGUUUUGUGACGGUACCUGGAGAAGAAGCCCCGGCUAACUACGUG
Molecule: ribosomal RNA, 467 nt
Filed under: uncultured bacterium
Lineage: Bacteria
Description: partial 16S ribosomal RNA
Rfam family: Bacterial small subunit ribosomal RNA
Source: RNAcentral